This 1365-nucleotide ribosomal RNA is filed under the name uncultured bacterium. Its description in RNAcentral is "partial 16S ribosomal RNA". It matches the Rfam family "Bacterial small subunit ribosomal RNA", at positions 28 to 1381 of the family's 1533-position model. The record is from RNAcentral.
AUUGAACGCUGGCGGCAGGCUUAACGCAUGCAAGUCGAACGGUAACAGGGGAAAGCUUGCUUUCUUGCUGACGAGUGGCGGACGGGUGAGUAAUGCUUGGGAAUCUGGCUUAUGGAGGGGGAUAACGACGGGAAACUAUCGCUAAUACCGCGUAGAAUCGAGAGAUGAAAGUGCGGGACCGCAAGGCCGCAUGCCAUGAGAUGAGCCCAAGUGGGAUUAGGUAGUUGGUGGGGUAAAGGCCUACCAAGCCGACGAUCUCUAGCUGGUCUGAGAGGAUGACCAGCCACACCGGGACUGAGACACGGCCCGGACUCCUACGGGAGGCAGCAGUGGGGAAUAUUGCGCAAUGGGGGCAACCCUGACGCAGCCAUGCCGCGUGAAUGAAGAAGGCCUUCGGGUUGUAAAGUUCUUUCGGUGACGAGGAAGGUUGUUGUGUUAAUAGCGCAACAAAUUGACGUUAAUCACAGAAGAAGCACCGGCUAACUACGUGCCAGCAGCCGCGGUAAUACGUAGGGUGCGAGCGUUGUCCGGAAUUACUGGGCGUAAAGGGCUCGUAGGUGGUUUGUCGCGUCGUCUGUGAAAUUCUGGGGCUUAACUCCGGGCGUGCAGGCGAUACGGGCAUAACUUGAGUGCUGUAGGGGUAACUGGAAUUCCUGGUGUAGCGGUGAAAUGCGCAGAUAUCAGGAGGAACACCGAUGGCGAAGGCAGGUUACUGGGCAGUUACUGACGCUGAGGAGCGAAAGCAUGGGUAGCGAACAGGAUUAGAUACCCUGGUAGUCCAUGCCGUAAACGGUGGGCGCUAGGUGUGAGGGUCUUUCUACGACUUUCGUGCCGUAGCUAACGCAUUAAGCGCCCCGCCUGGGGAGUACGGCCGCAAGGCUAAAACUCAAAGGAAUUGACGGGGGCCCGCACAAGCGGCGGAGCAUGUGGAUUAAUUCGAUGCAACGCGAAGAACCUUACCUGGGCUUGACAUACACCAGAUUGGGCUAGAGAUAGUUCGUCCCUUUGUGGUUGGUGUACAGGUGGUGCAUGGUUGUCGUCAGCUCGUGUCGUGAGAUGUUGGGUUAAGUCCCGCAACGAGCGCAACCCUUGUCUUAUGUUGCCAGCAUUUGGUUGGGGACUCAUGAGAGACUGCCGGGGUUAACUCGGAGGAAGGUGGGGAUGACGUCAAAUCAUCAUGCCCCUUAUGUCCAGGGCUUCACACAUGCUACAAUGGUCGGUACAACGCGCUGCGACACUGUGAGGUGGAGCGAAUCGCUGAAAGCCGGCCUUAGUUCGGAUUGGGGUCUGCAACUCGACCCCAUGAAGUCGGAGUCGCUAGUAAUCGCAGAUCAGCAAUGCUGCGGUGAAUACGUUCCCGGGCCU